RNAcentral lists this ribosomal RNA (208 nucleotides) under uncultured bacterium. RNAcentral's name for it is "partial 16S ribosomal RNA". It matches the Rfam family "Bacterial small subunit ribosomal RNA", at positions 568 to 774 of the family's 1533-position model. The record is from RNAcentral.
CGCGUAGGCGGCUAAGUAAGUCGGAUGUGAAAGCCCAGGGGCUUAACCUUGGAAUUGCAUUCGAUACUGCUUGGCUAGAGUAUGGUAGAGGGAAGUGGAAUUUCCGGUGUAGCGGUGAAAUGCGUAGAUAUCGGAAGGAACACCAGUGGCGAAGGCGACUUCCUGGGCCAAUACUGACGCUGAGGUGCGAAAGCGUGGGGAGCAAACA